AGCGCUGCUCGUCUGAACCGGGCCCUCAUAGGGUGACUGACGCAGCAACACAGCACUUGCGGUGUGUGAAAACAGUGCAUCCAUACUGAUGAAAGAGGAAUUUCCCUCUCGCAAGAAAGCAGUCAGAGCCCCCAGACAAAGUGGCACAUCAUUGGCAGAGCGGAGAGAGGGGGUAGCUCCCCGAGAACACCCUUGAAGCCUAGCCAGCCCAGAGCCCGCGGUGGCACCGUCAAUACUUUGGAAAACACAAAACUCGGGCAGAUUCAGGAGACCUCCAGGCCCCCCCGAGAGGAUUAGUUGUGCCGUCACCUGACGCUAAGGUUCCUCACGCACCACUUGAUAAAUACGGUGCAUUGGUUCAUAUUGUCAUCAAUGAAGCAACCAUUAACCAGAGGAUGUUUACUGAGGAACACACUUGUCACGUGAUCCUGGGGCACCAUCAGGUGCGACCCCACAAAGGAUAAUGUGGAGGUGCUGAAGUUCCCUGAGAUAAAGCAAAAAAGGAACAGAAAGGACAAGAGAACUGGAAAAUGUAUUCAGAACAGUGUCAGCAUCAGCGAGGCCACGGGUCGGUUUCAGGAAGGGCUGAUCUUUAGCUCCUGUCACCUACUGUGGCCAGUUGGAUUUGCUCUCUGUCCUGCUAACAGAGCACAUGGACACCAAGCAAGGGAUCUGCUGCGGCAGGUGGCCAGAGCCCCAGGCCGUCCUCUAGACUGCUGACAUGUGUGGUUUGAACUCCUUUGCCCAAACACAGACUAAAUGAUAAAAUACAUAUCAGUGUGGGCUACC
Molecule: long non-coding RNA, 789 nt
Organism: Bos taurus (domestic cattle)
Lineage: Eukaryota; Metazoa; Chordata; Mammalia; Artiodactyla; Bovidae
Source: Ensembl